UACGUAAGGACCGAGCGUUGUCCGGAAUCAUUGGGCGUAAAGGGGACGUAGGCGGGUAUUUAAGUUAGAAGUGAAAGGCUAUAGCUUAACUAUAGUAAGCAUGUGAAACUGAAUACAUUGAGAGAUGGAAGGGAAAGUGGAAGUCCUAGUGUAGCGGUGGAAUGCGCAGAUAUUAGGAAGAACACCGGUGGCGAAGGCGACUUUCUGG
This 208-nucleotide ribosomal RNA is filed under the name uncultured bacterium. RNAcentral describes it as "partial 16S ribosomal RNA". It matches the Rfam family "Bacterial small subunit ribosomal RNA", at positions 524 to 732 of the family's 1533-position model. The record is from RNAcentral.